GACGAACGCUGGCGGCGUGCUUAACACAUGCAAGUCGAACGGAAAGGCCCUGCUUUUGUGGGGUGCUCGAGUGGCGAACGGGUGAGUAACACGUGAGUACCUGCCCUUGACUUUGGGAUAACUUCAGGAAACUGGGGCUAAUACCGGAUAGGAGCUCCUGCUGCAUGGUGGGGGUUGGAAAGUUUCGGCGGUUGGGGAUGGACUCGCGGCUUAUCAGCUUGUUGGUGGGGUAGUGGCUUACCAAGGCUUUGACGGGUAGCCGGCCUGAGAGGGUGACCGGCCACAUUGGGGCUGAGAUACGGCCCAGACUCCUACGGGAGGCAGCAGUGGGGAAUAUUGCACAAUGGGCGGAAGCCUGAUGCAGCAACGCCGCGUGCGGGAUGACGGCCUUCGGGUUGUAAACCGCUUUCGCCUGUGACGAAGCGUGAGUGACGGUAAUGGGUAAAGAAACACCGGCUAACUACGU
RNAcentral lists this ribosomal RNA (466 nucleotides) under uncultured bacterium. Its description in RNAcentral is "partial 16S ribosomal RNA". It matches the Rfam family "Bacterial small subunit ribosomal RNA", at positions 28 to 506 of the family's 1533-position model. The record is from RNAcentral.